UAUAGAAUCUACCUUGUACUAGGGGAUAGCCUUUGGAAACGAAGAUUAAUACCCUAUAGUAAGUAUUUAUGGCAUCAUUUAUACUUUAAAGGUUACGGUACAAGAUGACUAUGCGUCCUAUUAGUUUGUUGGUGAGGUAACGGCUCACCAAGACUUCGAUAGGUAGGGGCCCUGAGAGGGGGAUCCCCCACACUGGUACUGAGACACGGACCAGACUCCUACGGGAGGCAGCAGUGAGGAAUAUUGGACAAUGGAGGCAACUCUGAUCCAGCCAUGCCGCGUGCAGGAUGACGGCCCUAUGGGUUGUAAACUGCUUUUAUGUAGGAAGAAACACUCUCACGUGUGAGAGCUUGACGGUACUACAAGAAUAAGGACCGGCUAACUCCGUGCCAGCAGCCGCGGUAAUACGGAGGGUCCAAGCGUUAUCCGGAAUCAUUGGGUUUAAAGGGUCCGUAGGCGGGCUAUUAAGUCAGAGGUGAAAGUUUGCAGCUCAACUGU
RNAcentral lists this ribosomal RNA (498 nucleotides) under uncultured Bacteroidota bacterium. RNAcentral describes it as "bacterial SSU rRNA". It matches the Rfam family "Bacterial small subunit ribosomal RNA", at positions 118 to 616 of the family's 1533-position model. Lineage: Bacteria; Pseudomonadati; Bacteroidota. The record is from RNAcentral.